CCUACGGGCGGCAGCAGUGGGGAAUAUUGGGCAAUGGGCGCAAGCCUGACCCAGCCACGCCGCGUGAAGGAAGAAGGCCUUACGGUUGUAAACUUCUUUUGUCAGGGACGAAAAACGUGCUGCUACCUGACGAAUAAGCCACGGCUAACUACGUGCCAGCAGCCGCGGUAAUACGUAGGUGGCAAGCGUUAUACGGAUUUACUGGGUGUAAAGGGCGUGUAGGCGGGAGAGCAAGGCAGACGUGAAAUUAGAGGGGUCAAACCUGGAACUGCGUUUGACACUGUUCGUCUUGAGUGAUGGAGAGGCAGGCGGAAUUCGGGGUGUAGCGGUGAAAUGCGUAGAUAUACGGAGGAACACCAAUGGCGAAGGCGGCCUGCUGGACAUUAACUGACGCUGAGGCGCGAAAGCGUGGGGAUCAAACAGGAUUAGAUACCCGAGUAGUC
RNAcentral lists this ribosomal RNA (443 nucleotides) under uncultured bacterium. RNAcentral describes it as "partial 16S ribosomal RNA". It matches the Rfam family "Bacterial small subunit ribosomal RNA", at positions 338 to 795 of the family's 1533-position model. The record is from RNAcentral.